AGUUUGAUCAGUGCUCAGGACGAACGCUGGCGGCGUGCCUAACACAUGCAAGUCGAACGAGGUCCAGGGAAGCUUGCUUCCUGAAGACCUAGUGGCGAACGGGUGAGUAACACGUGAGAAACCUGCCUCGGAGUGGGGAAUAACUCGGGGAAACUCGAGCUAAUACCGCAUACCUUCACAUGAUCGCAUGGUCGAGUGAAGAAAGAAUUUCGCUCUGAGAGGGUCUCGCGGCCUAUCAGCUUGUUGGUGGGGUAACGGCCUACCAAGGCAACGACGGGUAGCUGGUUUGAGAGAACGAUCAGCCACACUGGGACUGAGACACGGCCCAGACUCCUACGGGAGGCAGCAGUGGGGAAUCUUGCGCAAUGGGCGAAAGCCUGACGCAGCAACGCCGCGUGCGGGAUGACGGCCUUCGUGGUUGUAAACCGCUUUCAGCAGGGACGAAAAUGACGGUACCUGCAGAAGAAGCCCCGGCUAACUACGUG
This 485-nucleotide ribosomal RNA is filed under the name uncultured bacterium. RNAcentral's name for it is "bacterial SSU rRNA". It matches the Rfam family "Bacterial small subunit ribosomal RNA", at positions 10 to 507 of the family's 1533-position model. The record is from RNAcentral.